Molecule: ribosomal RNA, 417 nt
Filed under: Parmelia pseudolaevior
Lineage: Eukaryota; Fungi; Ascomycota; Lecanoromycetes; Lecanorales; Parmeliaceae
Also listed under: 1 other name
Description: eukaryotic LSU rRNA
Rfam family: Eukaryotic large subunit ribosomal RNA
Source: RNAcentral
AUUGACCUCGGAUCAGGUAGGGAUACCCGCUGAACUUAAGCAUAUCAAUAAGCGGAGGAAAAGAAACCAACAGGGAUUGCCUCAGUAACGGCGAGUGAAGCGGCAACAGCUCAAAUUUGAAAUCUGGCCCCUUCGGGGUCCGAGUUGUAAUUUGUAGAGAGUGUUUCGGGUGAGAGCGCGGUCUAAGUCCAUUGGAACAUGGCGUCAUAGAGGGUGAGAAACCCGUAUGUGACUGUGGCUCGAGCCCAUGUGAAGCCUCUUCGACGAGUCGAGUUGUUUGGGAAUGCAGCUCAAAAUGGGUGGUAAAUUUCAUCUAAAGCUAAAUACUGGCUGGAGACCGAUAGCGCACAAGUAGAGUGAUCGAAAGAUGAAAAGCACUUUGGAAAGAGAGUCAAACAGUACGUGAAAUUGUUGAAA